UACGUAGGGUGCAAGCGUUGUCCGGAAUUAUUGGGCGUAAAGAGCUCGUAGGCGGUCUGUCGCGUCUGCUGUGAAACCCAGGGCUUAACCCUGGGCCUGCAGUGGGUACGGGCAGACUAGAGUGCGGUAGGGGAGAUCGGAAUUCCUGGUGUAGCGGUGAAAUGGCGCAGAUAUCAGGAGGAACACCGGUGGCGAAGGCGGGUCUCUGGGCCGUAACUGACGCUGAGGAGCGAAAGCGUGGGGAGCAAACAGG
Molecule: ribosomal RNA, 253 nt
Filed under: uncultured bacterium
Lineage: Bacteria
Description: partial 16S ribosomal RNA
Rfam family: Bacterial small subunit ribosomal RNA
Source: RNAcentral